CAAAAUACGUUAUACAAAUAUAUAUUAAUAAGUAUAUAUUAAAAUAUGUAUUCAUUAUAUAUACUAAUAUUUACAUAUAAAUAAUUCAUAAGAAACAUGAUAAACAUAAAUUUCAUAUUAUGAUUUUACUAUAAGAAAAGAUCACUUGCUAUAUUGAAUUUAUUGUAUAAUAUAACAAGUUUCUAAACAAAAAUAUUUUUUCAAUAGAAAAUAUAUAUUUUCCAAAAUAUGCAUAUAUAUAUUUUUAAGAAUUAAUAUUUUACAUCUAAAAUUGCUAAUAUCACCAACAUUAAUAAUGAAUAUUAAUCUCAAGCAAAAUAGAAAAGUUCUUACAUUUGGUAGAACACGUUUUGACUUUGAUCUAUUAUUAUUUGACCAGAAUAACAAUAAAACAUGAGAUGCAAUAAUACUGCCAUGAUUCCUAUAACAUUCUUUAUUACAAAUUCUAUCUCCUCCAAUCCAUACACGAGCUAAAAUAUAUAAAAUACAUUAUAUUAUAUAAUAAAUAUUUGAAUUUUAAUUUUUAAAAUUUGUUUUAAUAUUUUAAUAUUUAUUAAUAUUGGUAAUUUUUUCUUCCCUCUAAAAUGUGUGUAUAUAACUAAUUGCUGAUAAUGUUUACUUGAAGUCCGAUCAGACUAAAAAUCAUAAUAUUAAGUAAUAAUGUGACAAAUGCCCCUACACGAUAUAUUGAAUUCAAUAAACUGACAAAUCUGUAAAUAAAAGUAUGCUAAUAUUUUACAAAAAAUAUGUUAUAAAUAUAUUACAUAGGCAGUAAUAAGAAUAUUUAAAAAAAUCUUUACUCUAGAGCAAUCUGAUGUUUCUUUAAACACAUAACGUAUUCCUGGUAUAUCACUUGUUCGAUUGCCAGUUUAUUCGUGCCGAUUUUCAUACAGUAUCUGUUAAUAUUUGUGUUUAUGUAACAUUCGCAGUAGUUGCUAAGAUUCAUAUUAUUAUCCGGUUUUGAAAUCAUUUCAAUUUGUUGACUGUGAAACCAAAUUCUUACAAUCUUACGCAACAGAAUUAAAGGAGAAAAAGUUAUUUAUUUGUGUACGUAUUUAACAAUCGAAAAUAAACUAUAAGCAUGAAGUAUACGAGUAAUAUAUAUACCGUUGACAGCACUCAGGAUAGUCACACCCAGCAAAAGUACACUUGUAUGGUAACAAUAAAUUGAUGCGUAAUACUUAUCCAUAUUUAUUCUCCAUUUUAUGGGUAUCGGAAAGUAUCGCGGUCGUGAUUCAUUAAGAGGCCGUAUGAUAUCGAAUAAUAUCGAUUUAAGCGGAAUUGUAAAAUAAAAUGUUAUUGCUACAUACAUUAAAGCUGCAUUUAAAAAAAUAUAUAUUUUUGUAUGCUUUAUAUAUUUUGUAUAUUUAUAAUGUAUACAAAACAUGUUUAUAUUUAUGAAUUAAACAUACAUAAAUAUAUAUUUAUUUAUAAUUUAUAUAAGUAUAUUAUAAAUAUAUUAAAAAGAUUAUUAAUAUUUUUUGUUAGAAAAAUUAAAUGAACACUUUAUAUGCAACCGAAGAAAUUUUGUGUUGAGUUUUUUUUAUUAGUUUUGUAUUAAUGUUUUUUAAAUAUUUACUAAUAUAUAACGUCUAUUAUCUUAUAUUCUUUACUCACUCGUAUAAAUUAUUAUCAAUUUUCGUGAUAGACCAGAAUAAUUUUUAAGAAUACGCAUUUCAGAUUCCUUUGUAAAUAUAUUCCAUUGAUUUUCCAUAAUUUCAUAUAAACGUCGUACCUGACCAUAACAAAUAGCUUUAUUAAAAUAAUAAUUAAAAAGGUAUAAAUAAAUUAAUAAUAUUUACAAUACACAUACCUUGUCGUAAUUCCAAAACUCAUUAAAUAACUUAGCGAUAAAUAAUAUUAUCGAGACAAUGUAAUGAAAAGUUUCAAAAAUGCAUUGUGUAUCUUCCCAAUAAUCAUAUAACAUUAAUAUCUAAUCGUAAUAUUAAUUCAAAUUAUUAAAUAUAUAUCAUAUACUUAAAAAGAUAUUUUUUUUAAAAGAAUUAGAAUUACAUUUUAUGUAAUCUUAUUAGUACUUUUUAUAUUAGUAUUCCUUAUAUUCAUGUAGAUGAAAAUACGUGUUGAGAUGUAUUACCUCGAAUAGAAGGAUACUCAAUCACAAGAAAUGAAAGCAGUAACAAACUUCUAACGAAUUUAUUUUGAAAUGGCCAAAGACCACAAUGUGAUGUACAGUAAUAUUUUAUUGAUAUUGUAUUCUCGUAGAAUAUUUACCAGCAUGGUAUUUUCGCUAUAAAUACUAUGAUAUUGUUGCACUCGCAGCGCGUACACGGUAUGCGUAACUUGCGGCGCACUUAUUAACAUUCUCACAAGCUCACUCACAAAAUUAAACUAAAGAACACGAGCUUUAUCAAAACGAGAAAAUACAGAAGCAGACGUAUUCGAGCGUCCAUACAGACAGAGAGACUGUCAGAAACAACACGUCGCUAACGAGCGACUCGCCUGUUGAACCGCGCGCGUCGCGGCACUGAAUGCCGUAAAAUUCGUUUUUCUGAAAAAUUAUUGGUAAUACAGUUCUUUUUUUUUUAUUACCGACCUUCUGUAUUCCUCAUUCAACAUCUUAACCAUAAAAUAGCGUCUAGUUGUCACAUUUUUCCUAUCAAGUAAUCAAUUUUUUAUCAGCUUUGAAAACAUUUAAGACAUUGUUUCGCGGCACAGAGUGCUGCGCGUGCCCACUAACGUUUGACCGAAGACACACCCCAAUACACCCGCCUAAGGGUUAAUAUCGAUUUCCGUCAUUUCUCUCGGUUUUGGCCUGGUUUAACAAUUUACGGUUAGCGAGUUAACCUAAGUUUAACUCGCUGAACUCAGCUUAACGCAUUUGUGGCGUUCCAAAACUACCUUAAAUCUUUGUUAAGGUUUAUUUGCUUCGGUUAAAGGUGAAUCCCCGAUUUUGGGCGUUUAAUCAAUUUAACCGACUUUUACAACCAUGACAUCAUUGAAAUUGCUGUGAAAGUUUCUCACGUCUUGCAAUAACUUUUCUUUUGAUGUUACAUAUGGUUAUAUAUGUGCUUCGUUGUUGAAUUGAAAGAGAGUAUUGCAUUUUACAAUAUACAUGUACAUAUAUUGGAAAGUACUCUUAAGAUUCAUCAAAAUUUUUAAAUGGCUUUUGCACAUGUUAUCGUCAUCACCUACCGAAAAAUGAUAAUGGAAUCAACAUCGAUUCGACAUCGAAAUAAUUAUUUUGAUGCCGAUUCGACGUCGAUUCCAUUAUCAUUUCUUAUUGAGCGAAGAAUGAAGACUUUGCUGAUAUUAUAAUAGAAGACCAUAUAAUGUUAGAAAACGACCUUAUUUUUAUGAACUUGACGAUGUUGAUUUUCACGCUCGAUUCCGAUUGUUGAAAGAAUGUAUUUCUGAAGUGUUGGAAGAUAUUGAACCCGAAAUUUCACAUUUAACAGAACGGUAAGUAUAUGUAUCGGAUCAUUACAAAAUAGCAACUGAGAGUAUCUGAAAACUUUAUUUGUUUCGUUUGUAUUUCAGCCACAAGAGUUGGAAAUUUUAUAAAUCUUGACGGAAGACGAGCUUAGGGAAGUUGUCGUUUAUGAAUAGUAAUUAUUGAUUGCUUUGAUAAUAAAAAUUAUAUGAACAGUAAUAAGUAGAAUCACAGUAAUGCCAAUAAAUUUAUAGCUUUUACUGUUGAGAAAUUCAUAGGCAUCUUACAAAUAUAUAUUCAAAGAACAAAGUGUAUAGAGGGUUAACAUUUUUUAUAUUGUACAUAAUUAAUUUAUGAUUGCUAUUUGUUUAUUAAGAACAAUUUUAUUUCUCCUAUGAAUCAGCUUUUUUUGACAUUGAGAUUCUACGCUACUAGUAACCAUUUAAUAUCGGCAGGUGAUUUUUCUGGAGUGAGCAAAACGAGUGCUCACAGAAUUGUUCACCGUGUAACAAAUGCUAUUGGACGUCUUCGGCCAAGGUUUAUCAAAUUUCUUACUCUUGCGGAUAAAAUUAGAAUAAAUAAAGUUUUUUGACAUUGCACGAUUUGCACGAGUUGUGGGUUGCAUAGAUUGGACACAUGUAAAAAUCUAGUCAUUUGGUAAUUAAUAUUUAAACUGUAUAUUAUUGAUAUUUAGAAGUGAACUUAAUACAGAUUGUUUUGCUGUUAUAAAAGUGUUAAUAAUUAUUGUAAAUAUUUUCAGGUGGAAAUAAUGCAGAAUAUUUCAGAAAUCGAAAGGGUUACUUUUCAAUUAAUGUUCAAGCUAUUUGUAACGUUAAUUUGGAAAUAACGGACCUUGUAGCUCAUUGGACGUCUUAUAAGUUAGCGGAACAAAGAAGUUUAUGUUAACGGGACAAUACCCUUAUAUCGAAAAAAUCAUAUGCAAAAAUAAGUCAGAAUUUGUUGCUAAUUCUGUACAAAAUGCUAACAAUUCGUGAUACUCUAACAGUAAGUAUUCAGAAUGAAAAUGAGGUGGGAUACUUCGUGCCUUGUCUUGUCAUUUCAUUGAUCACUUUUUACGAUUACAAACAUUAAUACGAUAUUAUGCGUAAAAAUAGUCGAUUUGUUCCAUAAUUUACGGGUCCGAUUCUAACACUCAUUCUUGUUUCUCACACACACACACACACACACACACACACACACGCACGCACGCACGCACGCACGCACGCACGCACGCACGCACACACACACACACACACACAUACACACACAUAUCGGUUUUAUAUAAGAAAUUAAUAAGACAAUUGAGCAUGACGAAUAUGAUGUAAAUGUGUCAUUUACAUCGAUGUUGUCACACAUUUCGAGAACUCAUAUUUUAAUUACAUUUAUUUUAUUAACGUGCUGGAAUGUGUUGGAAUAUAAAUAUAAGUACAAUCGUUCUUAAAGUGUUUUUGUGACAAAGCAGAAUCUAAUUAUAUAAAGUUCUUGAAGAGACUUUGACAAUGUCAACAACAAUUCAAAUAUCUUAAUCCAGAAUUAAGAAGAGAGACUAUACAAUAUACGAAACUAAUUAAUCUUUGAAUGAUAAAAAUGUCAUGAAAUAGGAUACUCCUGCUUUCACCAUCUUAAAGAAAGUACAAAGAUAUGCAUAAUUUGUCUUUCACACAUCACAAGUAAGUAUUUAAGACUCAUACAUACUGCAGCAUAAGUCUCCAGUGAUAAUGAAAAUAUGGCAGUUUUUAAUCCACAAGGUGUGAAACUUUUCCGAAGAGUUAUAAGCAUCAAUGAUUUAAAUCUCCAUGAUAAUGCGUACCAUUCUACAGCGUAUCUGUAAAUAUAAAUUUAAGAAUUUUUUUUCACAUUUGGUAGAUAACUAUAUUUGAUUUAAAAAUUAAAAUUUUUAUAUAUUUUUUUAAAAAAAUGAAUAAAUAAGCGUUUUUUAAAAUUAUAAAUUAAUAUUUUAAGUAAAAGUUUGUAUUUACAUAAAAUUUGUAUUUACAUGUUCUACAUUGUACAAAAUACGUUAUGCAAAUAUGUAUUAAAAUAUGUAUUAAUUAUGUAUUUAUAUUUACAUAUAAAUAAUUCAUAAGAAACGUAAAUUUCACAUUAAGAUCUUACUAUAAGAAAAGAUCACUCGCUAUAUUGAAUUUAUGUUAUAAUAUAACAGAUUUCUAAACAAAAGUAUUUUUUCAACAGAAAAUAUAUAUUUUUCAUAAUGUGCAUAUAUACAAUAUAUAUUUGUUUUUAAUAAUUAAUAUUUUGCAUCUGAAAUUACUAAUAUCACCAACAUUAAUGAUAAAAAUUAAACUCGAGCAAAAUGGAAAAGUUCUUACAUUCGGUAGAACACUUUUUGACUAUGAUCCAUUAUUAUCUGACCAGAAUAACAAAUAACCAAGAGAUGCAUUAAUAUUGCUGUGAUUAUCACAAUGUGACUUAUUGCAUUUACUAUCUUUUCCAACUCAUACACGAGCUACAACAAAUAAAAAAAUAUUACAUGAUAAUACGUUAAUUUUAAUUUUUAAUAUUUGUUAAUAUCUUAGUAUUUAUUAAUAGAGGUAAUUUUUUUUUUUAAGUGUAUAUAACAAAUAGCUAAUAAUGUUUACUCGGAUUAUGGAGAGACUAAAAAUCAAGAUAUUAAGUAAUAAUAAGAAAAAUGUCCCUACAUAAUACAUUGAAUUCAAUAAACUGACAAAUCUGUAAAUAAAAAUAUGUAUAUUAAUAUAUUACAAAUGUAUUACAAAUAUAUUAUACAGACAGUGACAAGAAUAUUAUAGAAAAAACUUCACUCUCGAGCUAUCUGGUAUUUCUUUAAACAUAUAAUAUAUUCCUUGUAUGUCACUUCUUCGCUUGUCGAUUUGUACGUGUCGAUUUUCAUGCAGUAUUUGCUAUCAUUUGUGUUUAUGCAACAUUUGCAAUUAUUGCUAGUUUUCAUAUUGAUAUCCGGUUUUGAAAUCAUCUCGAUUUGUUGACUGUAAAAUAAAAUUCUUACAAUCUUACGCAAUAGAAUUACGAGAGAAAAAGUUUUUUAUUUGUGUACGUACUUAACGAUCGAAAAUAAACUACAAGCAUGAAGUAUACGAGUAAUAUAUACACUGUCGACAGCACAAAAAACACCUACACCUAGCAAAAGUGUAGUCGUGAGGUAACAAUAAAUCGGUACGUAAUACUUA
Long non-coding RNA from Solenopsis invicta (red fire ant), 6558 nucleotides. RefSeq lists it as uncharacterized. The record is from RefSeq and is a predicted model, not a curated record. The transcript has 2 exons. NCBI's taxonomy places the organism in Eukaryota, Metazoa, Arthropoda, Insecta, Hymenoptera, Formicidae.